UAGUUGUAGGUAUACCAAAUCAUUGAUGA
Molecule: small RNA, 29 nt
Filed under: Bombyx mori (domestic silkworm)
Lineage: Eukaryota; Metazoa; Arthropoda; Insecta; Lepidoptera; Bombycidae
Description: ovarian small RNA-23190
Source: RNAcentral